Molecule: ribosomal RNA, 750 nt
Filed under: Triticum aestivum (bread wheat)
Lineage: Eukaryota; Viridiplantae; Streptophyta; Magnoliopsida; Poales; Poaceae
Description: partial small subunit ribosomal RNA
Source: RNAcentral
AUGGCUCCGGCUCCGGCGUCCAGCGGCCGCAUCCGGCCGUGGCUGGUGGUUGGCGACCUGGUCCUGGCGGUGCUGUGGGUGUGCGCGGGCGCGCUGGUGAAGCUGGCCGUGUACAACGUGCUCGGACUUGGGGGCCGCCCGGAGGGGGAAGCCGCCAAGGUCUCGCUCUCUGUCGUCUACAUGUUCCUCUUCGCCUGGCUUGAAUCCGCCACCGGCGGCGCCUCCUACAACCCGCUCACUGCCAUCUCCGGCGCCCUGGCCUCCCGCGGUGGCAUCGCCCUCUACCUCUUCACCGUCUUCGUACGGGUCCCUGCGCAGGUGAUUGGGGCGGUUAUUGGAGUGAUGCUCAUGCGAUUUGCAUUCCCUAAAGUAGGUAAAGGAGCUGCGUUAAGCGUCGGUGUUCAUCAUGGGGCUUUAACUGAAGGACUGGCAACCUUAAUGGUUGUUAUGGUGUCAUUGACACUUAAAAAGAAAGAACAGGGGUUCUUUGUGAAGACAUGGAUUGCCAGCAUUUGGAAAAUGACGAUUCAUAUCCUUAGCUCAGAUAUGACUGGAGGAAUUAUGAACCCUGCAUCUGCCUUUGCUUGGGCCUAUGCUCGUGGAGAUCACACAUCAUUUGACCACCUACUGGUAUAUUGGCUCGCACCCCUCCAAGCAACCCUUGUAGGAGUAUGGGUGGUUACCUUCUUAACUAAACCCAAGAAGACCAAGGAGCAAGAAGCAGAUAAAAACAAGAACAAAAAGGAAUAG